CAGUAGCCGCGGGAAUACAGAGGGUGCGAGCGUUAAUCGGAUUUACUGGGCGUAAAGCGUGCGUAGGCGGCUUUUUAAGUCGGAUGUGAAAUCCCUGAGCUUAACUUAGGAAUUGCAUUCGAUACUGGGAAGCUAGAGUAUGGGAGAGGAUGGUAGAAUUCCAGGUGUAGCGGUGAAAUGCGUAGAGAUCUGGAGGAAUACCGAUGGCGAAGGCAGCCAUCUGGCCUAAUACUGACGCUGAGGUACGAAAGCAUGGGGAGCAAACAGGAUUAGAGACCCCAGUAGUCCCUGUCUCUUAUAU
This 301-nucleotide ribosomal RNA is filed under the name uncultured bacterium. RNAcentral's name for it is "partial 16S ribosomal RNA". It matches the Rfam family "Bacterial small subunit ribosomal RNA", at positions 509 to 809 of the family's 1533-position model. The record is from RNAcentral.